RNAcentral lists this ribosomal RNA (33 nucleotides) under Dermanyssus gallinae. Its description in RNAcentral is "28S ribosomal RNA". Lineage: Eukaryota; Metazoa; Arthropoda; Arachnida; Mesostigmata; Dermanyssidae. The record is from RNAcentral.
CUGAAAUCAAGUGUGACGACCCCCUGAAUUUAA